AGAGUUUGAUCCUGGCUCAGAGUGAACGCUGGCGGUAGGCCUAACACAUGCAAGUCGAACGGCAGCACAGGAGAGCUUGCUCUCUGGGUGGCGAGUGGCGGACGGGUGAGGAAUACAUCGGAAUCUACUUUUUCGUGGGGGAUAACGUAGGGAAACUUACGCUAAUACCGCAUACGACCUACGGGUGAAAGCAGGGGAUCUUCGGACCUUGCGCGAUUGAAUGAGCCGAUGUCGGAUUAGCUAGUUGGCGGGGUAAAGGCCCACCAAGGCGACGAUCCGUAGCUGGUCUGAGAGGAUGAUCAGCCACACUGGAACUGAGACACGGUCCAGACUCCUACGGGAGGCAGCAGUGGGGAAUAUUGGACAAUGGGCGCAAGCCUGAUCCAGCCAUACCGCGUGGGUGAAGAAGGCCUUCGGGUUGUAAAGCCCUUUUGUUGGGAAAGAAAUCCAGCUGGCUAAUACCCGGUUGGGAUGACGGUACCCAAAGAAUAAGCACCGGCUAACUUCGUGCCAGCAGCCGCGGUAAUACGAAGGGUGCAAGCGUUACUCGGAAUUACUGGGCGUAAAGCGUGCGUAGGUGGUCGUUUAAGUCCGUUGUGAAAGCCCUGGGCUCAACCUGNGAACUGCAGUGGAUACUGGGCGACUAGAGUGUGGUAGAGGGUAGCGAAAUUCCUGGUGUAGCAGUGAAAUGCGUAGAGAUCAGGAGGAACAUCCAUGGCGAAGGCAGCUACCUGGGACCAACACUGACACUGAGGCACGAAAGCGUGGGGGAGCAAAACAGAUUUAA
Molecule: ribosomal RNA, 787 nt
Filed under: uncultured soil bacterium
Lineage: Bacteria
Description: bacterial SSU rRNA
Rfam family: Bacterial small subunit ribosomal RNA
Source: RNAcentral